Asparagus officinalis (garden asparagus) is the source of this 375-nucleotide long non-coding RNA. RefSeq lists it as uncharacterized. The transcript is spliced from 3 exons. Lineage: Eukaryota; Viridiplantae; Streptophyta; Magnoliopsida; Asparagales; Asparagaceae. The record is from RefSeq and is a predicted model, not a curated record.
AGUACCACCCACGUGCUGCGAGAAGGUAUCAGGAAAUGCUUCCUAUGUUGGAGACUAGGAAAGCUGUUGCACUCGCAGCAAAAGAAAGAGAGAUAGCGAAUGAAGGAUCGCAUAGAGGGACGACGUGGCGGAGGUAAGCCUGAUUCUAAACAACCGCCAAGAGGAAUGAGGGGCAUUAUUAGGUGGAAUAGUUCUAAUUUGCCCGUUGGUCCUUGGUCAACCCGAUUGAAUGCAUAUAUUGGGGUUCUCGUGCGUAGAGCGACCAUUAUCAACCCUUAUUUUCAUUUUCGAGAAUUACCAUGGACCGCAUACGAGGCGAUAUGGACUGCGCUUAUGGACUGCUUCUGCCUUGAGGACUUUGAGGGGGCUUGGAAU